GUGGGGAAUAUUGCACAAUGGGCGCAAGCCUGAUGCAGCAACGCCGCGUGAGGGAUGACGGCCUUCGGGUUGUAAACCUCUUUUAGUAGGGAAGAAGCGUAAGUGACGGUACCUGCAGAAAAAGCACCGGCUAACUACGUGCCAGCAGCCGCGGUAAUACGUAGGGUGCAAGCGUUGUCCGGAAUUAUUGGGCGUAAAGAGCUCGUAGGCGGCUUGUCGCGUCUGCUGUGAAAACCCGAGGCUCAACCUCGGGCUUGAAGUGGGUACGGGCAGGCUAGAGUGCGGUAGGGGAGAUUGGAAUUCCUGGUGUAGCGGUGGAAUGCGCAGAUAUCAGGAGGAACACCGAUGGCGAAGGCAGAUCUCUGGGCCGUAACUGACGCUGAGGAGCGAAAGCGUGGGGAGCGAACAGGAUUAGAAACCCGUGUAGUCC
Molecule: ribosomal RNA, 430 nt
Filed under: uncultured bacterium
Lineage: Bacteria
Description: partial 16S ribosomal RNA
Rfam family: Bacterial small subunit ribosomal RNA
Source: RNAcentral